UGGCUCAGAAUGAACGCUGGCGGCGUGCUUAACACAUGCAAGUCGAACGAGAAAGCCGAAAGCUUGCUUUUGGCGAGUAGAGUGGCGCACGGGUGAGUAACGCGUGGGUAAUCUACCUUCGAACCGGGGAUAACACUUCGAAAGGGGUGCUAAUACCGGAUGAUAUCCAGGGGGCUUCGGUUUCCUGGAUCAAAGAUGGCCUCUCCAUGGAAGCUGUUGUUCGAAGAUGAGCCCGCGUCCCAUUAGCUUGUUGGUGGGGUAAAGGCCCACCAAGGCGACGAUGGGUAGCUGGUCUGAGAGGAUGAUCAGCCACACUGGCACUGACACACGGGCCAGACUCCUACGGGAGGCAGCAGUGAGGAAUUUUGCGCAAUGGGGGUAACCCUGACGCAGCAACGCCGCGUGAGUGAAGAAGGCCUUCGGGUCGUAAAGCUCUGUCGAGUGGGAAGAACCCGCAGCAGGUCAACAGGCUGCUGUGCUGACGGUACCACUUGAGGAAGCACCGGCUAACUCCGUGCCAGCAGCCGCGGUAAUACGGAGGGUGCAAGCGUUAUUCGGAAUUACUGGGCGUAAAGGGCGCGCAGGCGGCCAGAUAAGUCAGUAGUGAAAGCCCGGGGCUCAACCUCGGAAGUGCUGCUGAAACUGUUUGGCUUGAGUAUGGUAGAGGGAAGCGGAAUUCCUGGUGUAGCGGUGAAAUGCGUAGAUCUCAGGAGGAACACCGGUGGCGAAGGCGGCUUCCUGGCCCAAUACUGACGCUGAGGCGCGAAGGCGUGGGUAGCAAACAGGAUUAGAUACCCUGGUAGUCCACGCAGUACACGGUGAUCACUAGGUGUUGGGGGUAUUGAUACCCGCAGUGCCGAAGCUAACGCAUUAAGUGA
RNAcentral lists this ribosomal RNA (878 nucleotides) under uncultured organism. RNAcentral's name for it is "bacterial SSU rRNA". It matches the Rfam family "Bacterial small subunit ribosomal RNA", at positions 20 to 867 of the family's 1533-position model. The record is from RNAcentral.